CUUCUCUGCGUGCGCCCGUGUCGCUGCAUCUUCUGAACCCGCGCGAAUUUCAAAUAAAAACUAAAUAAAACUUACGAUGUUCGAAAGAGAUGUGACUUAAAAUCUGUUCAUGAAAAAUGUAGUUUUUAAUCAACGAUUUAAUCAUGAUUUCAUUUUUAAAUAUAACGUAUAACAUUUAUUUUUAUUUAAAAAGUGAAUUCGCGUAGUGUUUUGUCAAUGACUAAACUAAUUUAAGGAGAUAAGUGGAAUAUUGGGGGUCGCCGAAUUUCGAGUCAAGGACCAAUUGAAUUAUUUCCGCAAAAAGUACUUCUUGGGGGCGAAGUCGCGGUGUAGCG
This is a long non-coding RNA of Vanessa tameamea, 335 nucleotides long. RefSeq lists it as uncharacterized. The record is from RefSeq and is a predicted model, not a curated record. The transcript has 3 exons. Lineage: Eukaryota; Metazoa; Arthropoda; Insecta; Lepidoptera; Nymphalidae.